UACGAAGGGGGCUAGCGUUGUUCGGAAUCACUGGGCGUAAAGCGCACGCAGGCGGAUCGUUAAGUCAGGGGUGAAAUGCCGAGGCUCAACCUCGGAACUGCCUUUGAUACUGGCGAUCUUAGAGUCCGGGGGAGGUGAGUGGAACUCCGAGUGUAGAGGUGAAAUUCGUAGAUAUUCGGAAGAACACCAGUGGCGAAGGCGGCUCACUGGCCCGGUACUGACGCUCAGGUGCGAAAGCGUGGGGAGCAAACAGG
Molecule: ribosomal RNA, 254 nt
Filed under: uncultured bacterium
Lineage: Bacteria
Description: partial 16S ribosomal RNA
Rfam family: Bacterial small subunit ribosomal RNA
Source: RNAcentral